This 667-nucleotide ribosomal RNA is filed under the name uncultured fungus. Its description in RNAcentral is "eukaryotic LSU rRNA". The stretch from base 226 to 379 matches the Rfam family "5.8S ribosomal RNA". Lineage: Eukaryota; Fungi. The record is from RNAcentral.
AAAGUCGUAACAAGGUUUCCGUAGGUGAACCUGCGGAAGGAUCAUUCAUAAUAAGUGUUUUAUGGCACUUUUAAAAAUCCAUAUCCACCUUGUGUGCAAUGUUAAGGCAAGAAGAGUGAGGAAUGAAGAGCAAUUUUCAUUCCCUCUCUUUUUGCUUUUCAAUUACAAACUCAUUUUUUUUAACAUAUCGUCUGAAAACUAUUAUGAAUACUUAAUUCAAAAUACAACUUUCAACAACGGAUCUCUUGGCUCUCGCAUCGAUGAAGAACGCAGCGAAAUGCGAUACGUAAUGUGAAUUGCAGAAUUCAGUGAAUCAUCGAAUCUUUGAACGCAUAUUGCGCUCUUUGGUAUUCCGAAGAGCAUGCUUGUUUGAGUAUCAGUAAACACCUCACAAUCAAUUUUUAUUUUUAAUGAAUUUUGAAAGUGGAUUUGAGUGAUCCCUACUCUUGUAAAAAAAGAGGCCGGUUACUUGAAAUGCAGGUGCAGCUGGAUUUACAACUGAGCUAUAAGCAUAUCUAUUUAGUCUCGUAAAACAGAUUAUUCAUUUUGCUAAAGCUACUCUAAGGUUGUAUUUCCAUAUGGCUGACUGAUGCAGAUUAACAGAGAAAUCGCAAGGUUUUUUUGUAAACUCGAUCUCAAAUCAAGCAAGACUACCCGCUGAACUUAA